This 492-nucleotide ribosomal RNA is filed under the name uncultured bacterium. RNAcentral's name for it is "partial 16S ribosomal RNA". It matches the Rfam family "Bacterial small subunit ribosomal RNA", at positions 28 to 507 of the family's 1533-position model. The record is from RNAcentral.
GAUGAACGCUAGCUACAGGCUUAACACAUGCAAGUCGAGGGGAAACGGCAUCGAAAGCUUGCUUUUGAUGGGCGUCGACCGGCGCACGGGUGAGUAACGCGUAUCCAACCUGCCCAUCACUUGGGAAUAACCUUGCGAAAGUAAGACUAAUGCCCAAUGACAUCCCACGAAGGCAUCCGAAUGGGAUUAAAGAUUUAUCGGUGAUGGAUGGGGAUGCGUCUGAUUAGCUUGUUGGCGGGGUGACGGCCCACCAAGGCAACGAUCAGUAGGGGUUCUGAGAGGAAGGUCCCCCACAUUGGAACUGAGACACGGUCCAAACUCCUACGGGAGGCAGCAGUGAGGAAUAAUGGUCAAUGGGCGAGAGCCUGAACCAGCCAAGUAGCGUGCAGGAUGACGGCCCUAUGGGUUGUAAACUGCUUUUAUAAGGGAAUAAAGUGGGUCACGUGUGACUUUUUGCAUGUACCUUAUGAAUAAGGACCGGCUAAUUCCGUG